RNAcentral lists this ribosomal RNA (780 nucleotides) under uncultured bacterium. RNAcentral's name for it is "bacterial SSU rRNA". It matches the Rfam family "Bacterial small subunit ribosomal RNA", at positions 8 to 777 of the family's 1533-position model. The record is from RNAcentral.
AGAGUUUGAUUAUGGCUCAGAANNNACGCUGGCGGCGUGGAUAAGACAUGCAAGUCGAGCGAAGUAUGAGGGGUAGCAAUAUUCCUUAUACUUAGCGGCGAAAGGGUGCGUAACACGUAGAUCAUCUGCCUCCAAGUGUGGGAUAGCCCGGCGAAAGCCGGAUUAAUACCGCAUGUGGUCGUGAGAUUAAAGCCGGGGACCGUAAGGCCUGGCGCUUGGAGAUGAGUCUGCGGCCUAUCAGCUUGUUGGCGGGGUAACGGCCCACCAAGGCUAAGACGGGUAGCUGGUCUGAGAGGACGACCAGCCACACUGGAACUGAGACACGGUCCAGACACCUACGGGUGGCAGCAGUCGAGGAUUUUUCUCAAUGGGCGAAAGCCUGAAGGAGCGACGCCGCGUGGGGGAUGAAGGUCUUCGGAUUGUAAACCCCUGUCACUUGGGAACAAAUUGGAUGACCUAACACGUCAUCCAUUGAUAGUACCAGGAGAGGAAGCAGUGGCUAACUCUGUGCCAGCAGCCGCGGUAAUACAGAGACUGCAAGCGUUGUUCGGAUUCAUUGGGCGUAAAGGGUGCGUAGGCGGUGAGGUAAGUUGGAUGUGAAAUCUCAGGGCUUAACCCUGAAAGUGCAUCCAAAACUGCCUCGCUCGAGGACUGGAAGGGAGACUGGAAUUCUCGGUGUAGCGGUGAAAUGCGUAGAUAUCGAGAGGAACACCGGUGGCGAAGGCGGGUCUCUGGACAGUUCCUGACGCUGNNNCACGAAAGCCAGGGUAGNAAACGGGA